UGCUGACCGGGUGCCUGCACUAAGUUCGGCACCAAUAUGGUGACCUCCUGGGAGCGGGGGGGCCACCAAGUUGCCUAAGGAUGGCUGAACUGGCCCAGGUCAGAAACGGAGCAGGUCAGAACUCCCAAACCGACCGAUAGUGAGACUGUGCCUGGGCA
Molecule: small RNA, 158 nt
Filed under: Macaca fascicularis (crab-eating macaque)
Lineage: Eukaryota; Metazoa; Chordata; Mammalia; Primates; Cercopithecidae
Description: Metazoan signal recognition particle RNA (ENSMFAG00000050552.1)
Rfam family: Metazoan signal recognition particle RNA
About the family: The signal recognition particle (SRP) is a universally conserved ribonucleoprotein. It is involved in the co-translational targeting of proteins to membranes.
Source: Rfam by way of RNAcentral